Molecule: ribosomal RNA, 781 nt
Filed under: uncultured Neocallimastigales
Lineage: Eukaryota; Fungi; Neocallimastigomycota; Neocallimastigomycetes; Neocallimastigales
Description: partial large subunit ribosomal RNA
Rfam family: Eukaryotic large subunit ribosomal RNA
Source: RNAcentral
CGUCUAUAUACGUAUAGCAUAUCAAUAAGCGGAGGAAAAGAAACUAACAAGGAUUCCCUCAGUAACGGCGAGUGAAGCGGGAAGAGCUCAAAUUUGAAAUCUUCAAGGUUUACCUUGACGAAUUGUAGUUUAAAGAAGUGUUUUCUAUUAGAGUUUGAGUAGCAAAGUUCUUUGGAAAGGGACAUCAUAGAGGGUGAGAAUCCCGUAUUUGAUCAUUAUCUCCAGCUUUGUGAUACACUUUCAAAGAGUCGGAUUGUUUAGGGAAUGCAGUCCAAAAUGGGUGGUAAAUUUCAUCUAAAGCUAAAUAUUGGCGAGAGACCGAUAGCGAACAAGUACCGUGAGGGAAAGAUGAAAAGAACUUUGAAAAGAGAGUUAAACAGUACGUGAAAUUGUCAAAAGGGAAGCGUUUGACACCAGUGUUGUUUUUCCGAAAAUCAAUUACGAAUGGUUUGAUUUUGAGUAGUUAUGACCUUCAUCAGCUUUCUGCACUUUCUUUACGAAGUCUUUCUUAAUGCACUUUUCGGUUAACAAGUCAACAUCAAUUUCUUUUGUUGUAAAAGAGUCAUUCGGAAGGUGGCUUUCUUUUCGGAGAAAGUGUUUAUAGCCUUGUGCCUCUGCAAUCGGAGAGAUUGAGGUCUGCAGCGUAGAUCCUUCGGGGUUAGAUACGUUUGUGCUAAGUUAUAGCUUUUCAUAGACAACUUGUUGACUAUGUUUAGUCUUGUAGCUUACUCGCUGACGCUAUUUUACCUACGCUUAGGAUGUUGACUGAUAUGUAGUCGUA